This 229-nucleotide ribosomal RNA is filed under the name uncultured bacterium. RNAcentral's name for it is "partial 16S ribosomal RNA". It matches the Rfam family "Bacterial small subunit ribosomal RNA", at positions 568 to 796 of the family's 1533-position model. The record is from RNAcentral.
UGCGUAGGCGGUUUUGUAAGUCAGUGGUGAAAUAUAGCAGAUUAACUGUUAGGGUGCCAUUGAUACUGCAGAACUUGAGUACAGAUGAGGUAGGCGGAAUUGACGGUGUAGCGGUGAAAUGCUUAGAUAUCGUCAAGAACACCUAUAGCGAAGGCAGCUUACUAGGCUGUAACUGACGCUGAGGCACGAAAGUGUGGGGAUCAAACAGGAUUAGAUACCCUGGUAGUCC